RNAcentral lists this transfer RNA (71 nucleotides) under Camponotus albosparsus. RNAcentral's name for it is "tRNA-Leu". The record is from RNAcentral. Lineage: Eukaryota; Metazoa; Arthropoda; Insecta; Hymenoptera; Formicidae.
UUUAAUAUGGCAGAAAAAGUGCAAUAGAUUUAAACCCUAUAUAUAAAGAUUUUUUACAUCUUUUAUUAAAA